AUCCAGCUGACGAGUCCCAAAUAGGACGAAACGCACAUCAAAUUGGAU
Non-coding RNA from Schistosoma rodhaini, 48 nucleotides. The record is from Rfam. NCBI's taxonomy places the organism in Eukaryota, Metazoa, Platyhelminthes, Trematoda, Strigeidida, Schistosomatidae.